CACGUGGUCAUCCAGGCGGUGCACGUUAAAAGAUAUAAAUGCCCUGCCUGGGUCACCAUGUGAA
RNAcentral lists this microRNA precursor (64 nucleotides) under Caenorhabditis briggsae. RNAcentral describes it as "Cbr-Mir-789_pre stem-loop". Lineage: Eukaryota; Metazoa; Nematoda; Chromadorea; Rhabditida; Rhabditidae. The record is from RNAcentral.